GUUGUAUGGUUAAGUGACUAAGCGUACACGGUGGAUGCCUUGGCAGUUGGAGGCGAUGAAGGACGUACUAACUUGCGAUAAGCCUAGUCAAGCCAGUAAGAGGCGCUUGAGACUAGGAUUUCCGAAUGGGGAAACCCGGCCCUUUGGGUCAUCGUUAACUGAAUACAUAGGUUAACGAAGCGAACGCGGAGAACUGAAACAUCUAAGUACCCGUAGGAAAAGAAAUCAACCGAGAUUCCGAAAGUAGCGGCGAGCGAAAUCGGAUUAGCCCUUAAGCUUUAAUGUAGUUAGUGGAACAUUCUGGAAAGUAUGACGAUACAGGGUGACAGUCCCGUACACGACAACUUAUUUAAAGUGAAAUCGAGUAGGUCGGAGCACGUGAAACUUUGACUGAAUAUGGGGGGACCAUCCUCCAAGGCUAAAUACUCCCAACUGACCGAUAGUGAACCAGUACCGUGAGGGAAAGGCGAAAAGAACCCCUGUGAGGGGAGUGAAAUAGAACCUGAAACCGUGUACGUACAAGCAGUAGGAGCAUACUUGUUAUGUGACUGCGUACCUUUUGUAUAAUGGGUCAGCGACUUAUAUUCUGUAGCAAGGUUAACCAUUUAGGGGAGCCGUAGCGAAAGCGAGUCUUAACUGGGCGCUUAAGUUGC
Molecule: ribosomal RNA, 653 nt
Filed under: Pseudoalteromonas rubra
Lineage: Bacteria; Pseudomonadati; Pseudomonadota; Gammaproteobacteria; Alteromonadales; Pseudoalteromonadaceae
Description: partial 23S ribosomal RNA
Rfam family: Bacterial large subunit ribosomal RNA
Source: RNAcentral